UACGUAGGGUCCUAGCGUUGUCCGGAAUUACUGGGCGUAAAGAGCUCGUAGGUGGUUUGUCGCGUUGUUCGUGAAAACUCACAGCUCAACUGUGGGCGUGCGGGCGAUACGGGCAGACUGGAGUACUGCAGGGGAGACUGGAAUUCCUGGUGUAGCGGUGGAAUGCGCAGAUAUCAGGAGGAACACCGGUGGCGAAGGCGGGUCUCUGGGCAGUAACUGACGCUGAGGAGCGAAAGCGUGGGGAGCGAACAGG
This 253-nucleotide ribosomal RNA is filed under the name uncultured bacterium. RNAcentral describes it as "partial 16S ribosomal RNA". It matches the Rfam family "Bacterial small subunit ribosomal RNA", at positions 524 to 776 of the family's 1533-position model. The record is from RNAcentral.